Molecule: ribosomal RNA, 253 nt
Filed under: uncultured bacterium
Lineage: Bacteria
Description: partial 16S ribosomal RNA
Rfam family: Bacterial small subunit ribosomal RNA
Source: RNAcentral
UACGGAGGGUGCAAGCGUUGCUCGGAAUUAUUGGGCGUAAAGGGCAGGUAGGUGGUCUCAUUUGUCUGAGGUGAAAGCCUUGGGCUUAACCCGAGAAGGGCCUCAGAAACGGUGAGACUAGAGUCUUGGAGAGGGUCGUGGAAUUCCCGGUGUAGCGGUGAAAUGCGUAGAGAUCGGGAGGAACACCAGAGGCGAAGGCGGCGACCUGGACAAGUACUGACACUCAACUGCGAAAGCGUGGGGAGCAAACAGG